Molecule: long non-coding RNA, 2237 nt
Organism: Gallus gallus (chicken)
Lineage: Eukaryota; Metazoa; Chordata; Aves; Galliformes; Phasianidae
Exons: 3
Source: RefSeq, a predicted model, not a curated record
CCUACCCAAAUAGCCACUUCUUCCUUCUCCCUUCAAUCCCCCUCUCUUUUUACUCGUAAGAAAGGGAAAAUUUAGAUGUCAAAUUGAGUAGUGCAGUUUUUACAGACAAAUUAAACGUAGGAGUGCAGUUGUUUUCCCAUUAGUAAGAAAGAAUGGGAGUUGCAGUUUUGCAUUUCAAUAUUAAUAGGUACUUCCUGGAACCUCAACAACUCGGAAACGCCACGAAGAGGGAAUCAAGCAAUUUAAAAGUGAAGCUCAACGCAUGGAUUCUCACAAACAACGGGAAGGAAAAACACUGCUUCUUUUCCAACCCGUUACUUCUCUCAGCCGACGCAGCGGCAUCACGCGUGGAGAACAUUGCGUAUAGCACAGAAAUACUACAAACAUCCUGUGCAGACUACAACAUUUGCUUCCUCCAUAGCCGCGAGUGAGACGGGACUUCAAGGAUAAACCUUACGAGGUGGGAAAACAGUCUCAGGAACAGGUUCGGAGCUUUGGUUGUGGGAUUGCUUCACUCUAGCACACAGCCAUACAGGAGCCUGACGCCUUCAGUAACACUACGGCCGAACUGACUGAAGGAAAACGGACUCUCAAAGCAGAGCGUUUCAUCCUCAGCAGGAGACGGAUCGGAGACAGCCAUGGGCUCACGCCUCCUCCCACCGCUCCUAUAGGAAUAGGGUAACCCGUCUGGGUUUUGCUGCCACUGUGUGGCCGUCGAGAGAAAGGAUGUUCGGGACACUGUCGUAUAGUUACUCUAUUUUUAUUGUAAAGCCUGGAAGAACUUACAGCAUCCUUAUACUACAGCGUUGCACCCUGGAUGCAUACACAUCCCUGUAGCUAUAUAGGUACAAAUUGCCUCUAAGAGAGAACUAGAGGCUUGAUCUUAGAGGACUCCUGUCCCAAGAGAUGUUGGCAGUUUGUCGUUCUCCCUGAAAGGUAAAAGCUUACCGUUAUCAUCAGGCAGCUCCAGCUAAACAUUGCUUUCUUUGCAUUAAACCUGGCAGCCAGUUUUUAGAAAGAAUUUAAGCAGAAUGAAUGAUCAGCAGAGAGCUCCUAAGUCUUCAGUCAGCAAUACUGUGCACAGCCUCCUGCUCAGCCACAGCACUAAACCUUUAGAACUAACGUGCCUGAAAUAUUACAGGAACCCAAAUUCUUCAUUAUUACUUUCAGAGUUAAAUAUUGGCUCCAACUCAAAAGGCAAGCAGUGCAUCAAUUCCUGCGCUGCUUUUACACGGCAUAAUUUGGAGAAAAAGCAUUUGGGGUUACUUUGCAGAAAGCCAACACCUGCAGUUCGGCUGUGAACUUGCUCAGAUGCUUUCAUGCUACAAGAGAGAUGCCAGAAUACCUCAGAUUCCUGUUUCCAGUAAGAGCUCUCAUGCUUUAAGCAAGGAGACACUCCCAUUCAAUCAGGGGGUGGCAGUAUAUUCUGUGGGCAGACAUCUGUUUCACAUCAAUAAAAGAUACAUCCCAUCCAUUACAGUCUCUGAUCCCUACCCUUUUCUGAUAAACAUUUUACGUUCAGAUGCACUCCUUUCACAAACGAGCACAAUUAACAAUUUUCCCUGCCAUAAAAUCAAGCAUUGGAACUCAGAAAAACAGUGGGCAAGACUGAAAAUGCCUUUCAACUUCAGCCCCUUAUUGGCUAAUAAGUGGAAAAUCUCUUUUUCUCCCUCUCUGCUCCAACAUUAUGCUUCUACUUCGGAAUUAUCUAUGCCAGUAAUAGUCUGAAGAUGGAGCAUUCCUUCAAAUGUUGCCUCCAGUUAUGAGCAAGAGCCACCAGGAAGAUCCAUCCAGAGGGACUGCUGGACUCAUUUGACAGCACUGAAUGGCCUCAUGUAUGCUCAGACAUCUCCUUCCAAGUCCACGUGAAGAGGAAGGCAUAAGGGCUGAAGAAUUGGAGCCUGAACGUAGCAGGAAAACAGACUAGGAGGCUUGAUUACAUUUUCCAUCGAGUUACCCUGCUUUAUUGCAUUGCAGUCCUUGAAAAUUUGAUUAGCAACUUCUCCUCUUCGUUCACCCUUCUGACAACUGGAUUUCCAACCUCUGAUCCGUAUCUGCAAACAUGCUAAUGCAGAUCCCAGCCAGGUCUUGCCACUACCCAUUCCUGACAUACUCAAAUUCAGGUGUCAGGAACUCCAAACUUAAUCUGUAGUUAACUGUUUCAAGCUCCCUAAAGGCAGAACUGAAGGAAGGCCAGGGCAGAUCCGGACCCGAGUCAAAGUGCAGAGCAUGGAUUG